GAUGAACGCUGGCGGCGUGCCUAAUACAUGCAAGUCGAGCGAACGGACGAGAAGCUUGCUUUUCUGAUGUUAGCGGCGGACGGAUGAGUAACACGUGGAUAACCUACCUAUAAGACUGGGAUAACUUCGGGAAACCGGAGCUAAUACCGGAUAAUAUUUUGAACCGCAUGGUUCAAAAGUGAAAGACGGUCUUGCUGUCACUUAUAGAUGGAUCCGCGCUGCAUUAGCUAGCUGGUAAGGUAACGGCUUACCAAGGCAACGAUGCAUAGCCGACCUGAGAGGGUGAUCGGCCACACUGGAACUGAGACACGGUCCAGACUCCUACGGGAGGCAGCAGUAGGGAAUCUUCCGCAAUGGGCGAAAGCCUGACGGAGCAACGCCGCGUGAGUGAUGAAGGUCUUCGGAUCGUAAAACUCUGUUAUUAGGGAAGAACAUAUGUGUAAGUAACUGUGCACAUCUUGACGGUACCUAAUCAGAAAGCCACGGCUAACUACGUG
RNAcentral lists this ribosomal RNA (497 nucleotides) under uncultured bacterium. Its description in RNAcentral is "partial 16S ribosomal RNA". It matches the Rfam family "Bacterial small subunit ribosomal RNA", at positions 28 to 507 of the family's 1533-position model. The record is from RNAcentral.